RNAcentral lists this ribosomal RNA (497 nucleotides) under uncultured bacterium. Its description in RNAcentral is "partial 16S ribosomal RNA". It matches the Rfam family "Bacterial small subunit ribosomal RNA", at positions 28 to 507 of the family's 1533-position model. The record is from RNAcentral.
GAUGAACGCUGGCGGCGUGCCUAAUACAUGCCAGUCGAGCGAACGGACGAGAAGCUUGCUUCUCUGAUGUUAGCGGCGGACGGGUGAGUAACACGUGGAUAACCUACCUAUAAGACUGGGAUAACUUCGGGAAACCGGAGCUAAUACCGGAUGAUAUUUUGAACCGCAUGGUUCAAAAGUGAAAGACGGUCUUGCUGUCACUUAUAGAUGGAUCCGCGCUGCAUUAGCUAGUUGGUAAGGUAACGGCUUACCAAGGCAACGAUGCAUAGCCGACCUGAGAGGGUGAUCGGCCACACUGGAACUGAGACACGGUCCAGACUCCUACGGGAGGCAGCAGUAGGGAAUCUUCCGCAAUGGGCGAAAGCCUGACGGAGCAACGCCGCGUGAGUGAUGAAGGUCUUCGGACCGUAAAACUCUGUUAUUAGGGAAGAACAUAUGUGUAAGUAACUGUGCACAUCUUGACGGUACCUAAUCAGAAAGCCACGGCUAACUACGUG